Molecule: non-coding RNA, 46 nt
Filed under: Schistosoma curassoni
Lineage: Eukaryota; Metazoa; Platyhelminthes; Trematoda; Strigeidida; Schistosomatidae
Source: RNAcentral
UUACUGUUGAGGUGUCCCACAAUAGGACGAAACGGCCUUCCAGUAG